This is a long non-coding RNA of Plodia interpunctella (Indianmeal moth), 1184 nucleotides long. RefSeq lists it as uncharacterized. The record is from RefSeq and is a predicted model, not a curated record. NCBI's taxonomy places the organism in Eukaryota, Metazoa, Arthropoda, Insecta, Lepidoptera, Pyralidae. The transcript has 3 exons.
GUGUGUCAUCUAUUUAUAAAGUGAAGUGAAUUCAUUUCACUGAGAAUAAAUUUGUCGAAAUUACUCUGAGAAAAAAGAUGUUCGGAACUACCGGCACAGCAAAUUGGCUGUGCAAUAUAGGAAGUUGAUGAAUGAAAAUGAUUCACCAAUAUAUUCUAAAAGGAUCCCGAUCUUCUUACUUAGCUGUUAUCCGCACGGUCGGUUUAUUUCAAUUUCCUUCAUAAAAGACGCUAUUCUCGGAUUUGAAGUAGAUUUAUCAUGCUCGGAUAAAGCGGGCACUUUUUGUGCUUUUCUUGUGCCUGGAUCUGACCCGAGAUCUGUCCACUUAAUGUGAAUAAUGGUGUGCGAUGGAAAACGAAUGCGAACCCGAACAAAAGACAACAAUACCAAGCGAUUUUAAGAUUUGAUACAAAGAUUUCGUUGAGAGAAUCGAGACGGAGUUAUCUGUGGAAUCCCAGACGUCCUCAGAUAAUCGAUUCCUUGAGGCAAAGCCGAGACCAGGAGAGAUGCACUCGAGAUGCACCGGGCCACGACUCUCUACAAGUUGUUUGGCAUACAAUAAUGUUUGCUCCCAUCAAUUUCCCAAAGCGCUACGUCGCGAGGAGAUCGCGUGGGAUCGUGUCGGCAACGGGAAAUUGGCGCGUUAUGUAUCAAUAGGAUCAGGCAACUGUUGCUGUAUCUAUAUGUCGACACUGGUUAUACCUACUUACAAAUUGCUGAUUCAAGGUUAAUAUUUGGUAUUAGAAAAUAAUAACUUUACUUCUCAGAUAAAACACAAACACAAAAAUAUACAUACAAAUUAUAGAUAAAUAAAUAAAUAAAUAUAUAUACACAGAAAUAUUGAAUCAUCAAUAAUAUAUGAAUUCUGUUUACUAAAAAAGGUACUAACAGCAAUUAACAGAGACCCCUAAUAUUAUUUAACUUGUACAAUAUUAGUUUUCCUCAUUUGUUACGCUCAUUUCCCGUAGCUACGUCAAACAAACUGAGCAGCCGGGAAUGUUUUUAUGAGAAUAGUUCCAUUCAGCCAUUGUGUGCUGAUUUGACAGGGGUACAUGAGAAGCACACCCUAAUUUCCGCGUAAUGGAUUAAUAGACACGCUAUAAGCCAGGAAUGUAAAAUACGGUACGUUCGGCUCUGAUUCGGGUUAAAUGUUAACCUUUAUAUAAUUGUUCGAUUAGAGCAGA